This 253-nucleotide ribosomal RNA is filed under the name uncultured bacterium. RNAcentral describes it as "partial 16S ribosomal RNA". It matches the Rfam family "Bacterial small subunit ribosomal RNA", at positions 524 to 776 of the family's 1533-position model. The record is from RNAcentral.
UACAGAGGGUGCGAGCGUUAAUCGGAAUUACUGGGCGUAAAGCGUGCGUAGGUGGUUCGUUAAGUCUGAUGUGAAAGCCCUGGGCUCAACCUGGGAAUGGCAUUGGAUACUGGCGACCUAGAGUGCGGUAGAGGGGUGUGGAAUUCCCGGUGUAGCAGUGAAAUGCGUAGAUAUUCGGAAGAACACCGGUGGCGAAGGCGGCAUCCUGGACCGACAUUGACGCUGAUGAGCGAAAGCUAGGGGAGCAAACGGG